RNAcentral lists this ribosomal RNA (492 nucleotides) under uncultured bacterium. RNAcentral describes it as "partial 16S ribosomal RNA". It matches the Rfam family "Bacterial small subunit ribosomal RNA", at positions 29 to 507 of the family's 1533-position model. The record is from RNAcentral.
AGUGAACGCUGGCGGUAGGCCUAACACAUGCAAGUCGAACGGCAGCACAGUAAGAGCUUGCUCUUACGGGUGGCGAGUGGCGGACGGGUGAGGAAUACAUCGGAAUCUACUUUUUCGUGGGGGAUAACGUAGGGAAACUUACGCUAAUACCGCAUACGACCUACGGGUGAAAGCAGGGGAUCUUCGGACCUUGCGCGAUUGAAUGAGCCGAUGUCGGAUUAGCUAGUUGGCGGGGUAAAGGCCCACCAAGGCGACGAUCCGUAGCUGGUCUGAGAGGAUGAUCAGCCACACUGGAGCUGAGACACGGUCCAGACUCCUGCGGGAGGCAGCAGUGGGGAAUAUUGGACAAUGGGCGCAAGCCUUAUCCAGCCAUCCCGCGUGGGUGAAGAAGGCCCUCGGGUUGUAAAGCCCUUUUUUUGGGAAAGAAAAGCAGCAGGUUAAUACCCCGCUGUUCUGACGGUACCCAAAGAAUAAGCACCGGCUAACUUCGUG